Meriones unguiculatus (Mongolian gerbil) is the source of this 103-nucleotide small nuclear RNA. The record is from Ensembl. Lineage: Eukaryota; Metazoa; Chordata; Mammalia; Rodentia; Muridae.
UUACUUUGGCAGCACAUGUACUAAUGCUGGAACAAUUCAGAGAGGAUUAGCAUGGUUCCUGUGUAAGGAUGACAUGGAUAUUCAUGGAGUAUUCCCUAGAUUU